CAGGGGGCUAGCAAAACAUCAUUAAUAAGAAGGAUGUAGGCGAAUUACAGAGACAAAGCACACCUUGCCACUGGUGACAUUUUACAGUGCGCCAACCUUAUAGCAAAAGCAGCCCUGCAAGCUUCAGAAGCUGCAAGAUGAAGGUCUCCACCCAGGGACAAUGAAGAGUCAAUUCAAAAGAAUGAAGCUGACAAGCCCAGCCUUCUUUCGAAACUAUUUGCAUGAGAAUCAUCACUCUGAAGCAAGCAAAUUCCAGUCUGUUUCCUCACUCCCU
Molecule: long non-coding RNA, 274 nt
Filed under: Ictidomys tridecemlineatus (thirteen-lined ground squirrel)
Lineage: Eukaryota; Metazoa; Chordata; Mammalia; Rodentia; Sciuridae
Description: lncRNA (ENSSTOG00000030007.1)
Source: RNAcentral